GGACAUGAGGGCAAUCUGGUAGUGACAUCUGUCACCCCAUUAAUCACCAGGGUGGAUUCGACGGAUCUGGCUGGCUAAGCGGGUGUCCCCUCCCUCCCUCACCACUCCACGUCCAUCCCUCCUGGAGCCGCAUACUCGGUUGAAGGGGACCACCUUCCCUGGUAGAGGAGGACUGGUCUUGGGUCAAGGGUAUACGAGUAGCUGCGCUCCCCUGCUAGAACCUCCGAACAAGCUCUUAAGAGUGACAGGUAGAGGGAAGGAGGAGGGAAAGUGAUGAGGACAUGCACCCCCCCCCAGGAGAGGCCCUCUGCUCUUUCAG
This is an unclassified non-coding RNA of 319 nucleotides. Its record names the gene 7SK. It matches the Rfam family "7SK RNA". From Rfam's summary of the family: 7SK was discovered as an abundant small nuclear RNA in the mid-70s but a possible function has only recently been suggested. Two independent studies have found that 7SK RNA binds the CDK9/cyclin T complex (known as elongation factor P-TEFb). P-TEFb activates transcription by phosphorylating the C-terminal domain of RNA polymerase II. The record is from Ensembl.